GAUGAACGCUAGCGGCAGGCUUAACACAUGCAAGUCGAGGGGUAGAAGCAGCUUGCUGCUUUGAGACCGGCGCACGGGUGCGUAACGCGUAUGCAAUCUGCCUUUUACAGAGGGAUAGCCCAGAGAAAUUUGGAUUAAUACCUCAUAGUAUGUGAGAAUCGCAUGGUUUUCACAUUAAAGUUCCAACGGUAAAGAUGAGCAUGCGUCCCAUUAGCUAGAUGGUAAGGUAACGGCUUACCAUGGCGACGAUGGGUAGGGUCCUGAGAGGGAGAUCCCCCACACUGGUACUGAGACACGGACCAGACUCCUACGGGAGGCAGCAGUUGAGGAAUAUUGGACAAUGGGCGCAAGCCUGAUCCAGCCAUGCCGCGUGACAGGUAUGACGGUCCUAUGGAUUG
RNAcentral lists this ribosomal RNA (398 nucleotides) under uncultured bacterium. RNAcentral's name for it is "bacterial SSU rRNA". It matches the Rfam family "Bacterial small subunit ribosomal RNA", at positions 28 to 425 of the family's 1533-position model. The record is from RNAcentral.